GCUAUCUACACGUUUUGCACAUUUCCUCCCUACUUUAGGCACACUAAGGAAAGUUUCAGUUUCAUAGAUCUGUGUCCCUAACCCGACAUCAAGAAUAUCAUUCCACGGCUGAGUAGGCGAGCUACGGUCAGCUGAUAAGGGCAAAUUAAUAUCAGGGGGACGAGUUAUGACAACUUGGCGAUUCAUCUCAAGGUCUAAUUCAUCAUGUGAAGAAGAAGCACUGGAAUCCAUGGACAAAAGGGUUGAAGGAUGAUGAUUCUCCAUUGACAGAGUUGUAAGAAGAGUAUCUACCAUUUCACAAAUUUCUCCCUUGAAAAUAGGGACUCUCUAAUUACUAAUCCUAGCUCCAAUUCUUAAGUACCCAAAUGAACUUUCUUGAAAAAAAUUCAAUCUUUACAAACAACACAUCCAUCAUACUAAUCCCAACAACAACAACAACAUUUACACCACCAUCAAAUCCUUUUUACUUAUUCAUCACAUAACUACAAACCCUCAAAAAACCCAAAUAACAAAAUAGUCAAAAAUAACAUACAAGUCGAAAGAAAAACUAGAUGAACACUGUAUUCAACCCUAACCCAAGA
RNAcentral lists this unclassified non-coding RNA (581 nucleotides) under Hevea brasiliensis (rubber tree). The record is from RNAcentral. Lineage: Eukaryota; Viridiplantae; Streptophyta; Magnoliopsida; Malpighiales; Euphorbiaceae.